Molecule: microRNA precursor, 64 nt
Filed under: Myotis lucifugus (little brown bat)
Lineage: Eukaryota; Metazoa; Chordata; Mammalia; Chiroptera; Vespertilionidae
Description: mir-9242 microRNA precursor family
Rfam family: mir-9242 microRNA precursor family
Source: Rfam by way of RNAcentral
GACCUCCCUCUUUGGGGCAAUCAAUCGCGGGGCUCCGCGAUCGAUGGCCACGCAGAGGGAGGCC